Non-coding RNA from Lonchura striata (white-rumped munia), 268 nucleotides. NCBI's taxonomy places the organism in Eukaryota, Metazoa, Chordata, Aves, Passeriformes, Estrildidae. The record is from RefSeq and is a predicted model, not a curated record.
CAGCGCCGCCCCGUCCCGGUGUCACCUCUGGGGACGACGCCGACGCCGUGAUGGAUUCCCCGGGACUCGGCAGCGGCGCCGACGGAGCCGGGAGCGCGCCGGGAACGCCGGGAGGCCAGGGGCUCCGGAAGGGCCGCGCCGGGAUCCGGGAGCAGCCGGGAAAGGCGGAAUUCCGGCCGGAGCCCAAGGGGCAGGAGCGGCCAGGGCCGGGCGGGGCCCGGAUCCAGCCGGGUUUUCCCUUUGGAUCCUACGAGCCCUCGGUGGCCUC